This 464-nucleotide ribosomal RNA is filed under the name Triticum aestivum (bread wheat). Its description in RNAcentral is "partial small subunit ribosomal RNA". The record is from RNAcentral. Lineage: Eukaryota; Viridiplantae; Streptophyta; Magnoliopsida; Poales; Poaceae.
GCGGAAGUUAGAUAUGAGCAUCACUUCAAACAUUACUAUGUACAAAUUCAUCUGAGUGAAUUGUUCCAGCUUUUCAAUCUGCGCGAGCUCGACAAAUCUAUCAUCAGUUGCUACGUUCUGUAAGUGAUUUAUUUCUACCCCAUCUCGUUCAUAUUGCCUGCACUAUAUAUAUGUCCUAACUAUAUUGUUGUGUCCGCUAUUAUACAUGCAGAAUGAAGAUUAAGGAAUGCAGAGUAAGGAACAUCCAUGAUGUUGGGUUCAUUGACCCACACAUCGUUAAUGGAUAUGUGUUGGAGCAUCACCCCACCGACAUGGAGGCAGACCUGUGGCAGUUUCUUACAAAGCAGGAACUCAAAAGUGAUAUUCUAUUUCCUUACCAUUUUGGGUGAGUGUUUCUGUCUUGAGCACAUUCUCUUUUGUUUACUCCAUGCAUGGUAUGUGGCCGGCUAAUCGAUGAGUUAUGC